Non-coding RNA from Oryza glumipatula, 207 nucleotides. Lineage: Eukaryota; Viridiplantae; Streptophyta; Magnoliopsida; Poales; Poaceae. The record is from Rfam.
AACAAGUGCAGUUUUGCACUAUUCAUGUCCAACGAUUGACUGUUUGUCUUAUUUGAUUUUUUUUAUGAUUAGUAUUUUUAUUGUUAUUAGAUAAUAAAACAUGAAUAGUACUUUAUGCGUGACUGAUUCUUUUUAAUUUUUUCAUAAAUUUUUCAAAUAAGACGGACGGUCAAAAGUUGGACACAGAUACCCACGGCUCCACUUAUU